AGCUCCGAGGUGUAUCGCAUGCCGGAUUGCAAAUCCGGAGGAGCAGACUAACGUCUGCCGGGGCUU
This 66-nucleotide transfer RNA is filed under the name Bathytyphlops sewelli (Sewell's spiderfish). RNAcentral describes it as "tRNA-Cys". Lineage: Eukaryota; Metazoa; Chordata; Actinopteri; Aulopiformes; Ipnopidae. The record is from RNAcentral.